GACGAACGCUGGCGGCGUGCUUAACACAUGCAAGUCGAACGGAAAGGCCCUGCUUGCAGGGUACUCGAGUGGCGAACGGGUGAGUAACACGUGGGUGAUCUGCCCUGCACUUCGGGAUAAGCCUGGGAAACUGGGUCUAAUACCGGAUAGGAGCCAUUUUUAGUGUGAUGGUUGGAAAGUUUUUUCGGUGUAGGAUGAGCUCGCGGCCUAUCAGCUUGUUGGUGGGGUAAUGGCCUACCAAGGCGGCGACGGGUAGCCGGCCUGAGAGGGUGGACGGCCACCUUGGGACUUAGAUAAGGGCCAGGACCCCAACGGAGGCCGCAGUGGGGAAUAAUGGACAAUGGGCGGCAACCUGAUGCAGGCGAGCCGGGUGGGGGAUGACGGCCUUCGGGUUGUAAACUCCUUUCGCUAGGGACGAAGCUUUUUGUGACGGUACCUAGAUAAGAAGCACCGGCUAACUACGUG
RNAcentral lists this ribosomal RNA (465 nucleotides) under uncultured bacterium. RNAcentral describes it as "partial 16S ribosomal RNA". It matches the Rfam family "Bacterial small subunit ribosomal RNA", at positions 28 to 507 of the family's 1533-position model. The record is from RNAcentral.